UACAGAGGUCUCAAGCGUUGUUCGGAAUCACUGGGCGUAAAGCGCACGUAGGCGGACUCUUAAGUCGGUGGUGAAAUCCUGGAGCUCAACUCCAGAACUGCCUUCGAUACUGAGAGUCUCGAGUCCGGGGAGAGGUGAGUGGAACUGCGAGUGUAGAGGUGAAAUCGUAGAUAUUCGCAAGAACACCAGUGGCGAAGGCGGCUCACUGGCCCGGUACUGACGCUGAGGUGACGAAAGCCGUGGGGAGCAAACAGG
Molecule: ribosomal RNA, 255 nt
Filed under: uncultured bacterium
Lineage: Bacteria
Description: partial 16S ribosomal RNA
Rfam family: Bacterial small subunit ribosomal RNA
Source: RNAcentral